CGGUUAUAUGUUUUUCUUUGUCAUAUAGCAACAUGUUUUUAAUCUGUUUAUUAUUAGCCGUAGAUUAGUUUGAAUGUCCAGCAUACACAGUGAGUCAAAGUGAAUGAGCUGUUACUAUAGAAACCAUAAGUUAUAUUAAGAGCGUUAAUAUAAACCUGUGAUUUAUGUUACAGCUGGAAGUACUGUCAAAGCUGCUGUUACAGAAAAUGAAACACCUUCUGACCAAUCAGAAUUAUGAAUUCAACAGAGAUGGAAUCAUAGAACGAUAGAUAGAUAGAUAACACUUUGAUCAAUGCUGUAAAGUGAACCAGCAGAGCGCAAGAUGUUGGAUAGAUCCAGACAGAGGGAUCAGAGGGGAAAUGAUUACGUACACAAAUGAUUAUUAAUACAAUCAGCACACAUGUUAUAAUGCACAGCUCCUCCAGAUGGAGUGUAACUCUAAUGUAUCUUAAAAAUAUAAGAUGUGUUGUACAUUAAACUGUUCUCCCUUAUUGACUAACACCUGAUACUGUCUUAGUCAGUGCACUCCUCUAUGUGCCAUCAUCUCCACUGCUCUCAGCCAACCAGAACUGGGUUUAUAUUAGCGAUGAGGUGUGCAUCAGUGUAACAUCUCAGACUCGGGCGAGGAGUGAGGAUCCAUGCUCAAAAAGCUAUUUAAUAGAAAUCAGGGCAAACAGAACGAAAUCACAAACCGAAAUCGAACCAGGCAGGCCGGGCUAAUAACAACAGUACAUCAGAAACGAAAGGUCCGAAGCGAUAAACCAAAGAGGAAAUCAGGAAACUAACCAAGGGUGCAUAUAUUUAUAGGCACGGCACUGUUCAACAAGGAGCAGCGCUUAAGAUAUUGCACUGAAUAGAUAAACAUGUGCUUCGAAAUAAUCCAAACAUUUGAAGAAACAACCAAAUAAAAUAGAAGUCAUGCCAGAGGCCAUGCUGAAACUCAGGUCACUGCGACAUCUACUGGCCUGGAGGGGAAUUGUCCUGAGUUUCUGUUAGAAUAUCGCAAGCGGGUACAAAGAAUAUAAUAACCCCUGGAGUGGACGAGAUUUCAACAUCCCAGCUCUCGUCUUUGGACUGACAGAUAUGAGGUAGCGCCUAUUUUUACCUGAUAAACAAUGGCAUGAAUGCAGCUCUUGAUCGAUCCAUCCAUCUUCUAUACCGCUUAUCCUUUUCAGGGUCACGGGGGAACCUGGAGCCUAUCCCAGGGAGCAUCAGGUACAAGGCGGGGUACACCCUGGACAGGGUGCCAAUCCAUCGCAGGGCACAAUCACAUACACACUCACACACCCAUUCAUACACUACGGACAAUUUAGACACGUCAAUCAGCCUACCAUGCCUGUCUUUGGACUUGGGGAGGAAACCGGAGUACCCGGAGGAAACCCCCGCAGCACGGGGAGAACAUGCAAACUCCACACACACAGGGCCACUUUAUUGUUGGUUUAUUGUGAUGACUUUCUGUUCAGUUCACUCUUUCAAACCAGCAAAUCAGAUACAGGUAGACUCGACAGAGAAACUGACGUUCGUGUGUAUGGUCUUUCAUGUACACGCACGUGCCAAACAGAAAAGUGAUGACAAAAGUUCAGAACAUCAAAUAGAACAAUGCUUUCAUAAUACAGAGAAUGGAGAAGCGAUAGCUCAUAGAGAAUGGGCAGAGAACAGGCAAAGAACGGGCAAUGGUAGCUCAGUGUUUACGGUGUUGUUGUACUGCUCAGAAGGUCAUGAGUUCAAACCCCAGCACUCCCAAGCUGCCACUGUUGGGCCCUUGAGCAAGGCCCUUAACCCUCAAUUGCUCAGAUGUAUGAAUGAGAUAAAUAUCACUCUGGAUACCAUAAAUGAAAUGAGAAAGGAAAUUAUGUCCAACCUAAACCAUGAAUCUUUUAUAUUCUGUUCAGGUCAAGAUGACACAACAUGGUAUCGUAGGCUGUAUAUAGCAGAACGCUGUUAUUUUUUCCUCGUUCCUUGUGGCUGAGCACAAAGUGAACAGUGUUAAGACGGUUCUUUGGUUGUGAGCGAAGCUCCGUGGUCUUUUCACUAGUGGCCAAUUUCCUGCCAAUGAGACCACCAGUGACAAAGUUCUGGUCAUGUCACAAACGUUUAAUUAGAAUCUCGAAAUGUUAGCGCUGCUACGACGCCCGUCUACAAGCCACCGAUAAGAGGACGAUACAGGACGACGCCAAACUCGCGGAACAGCUGUAAAUACAGUCGUAGCAAUGGCGAAACGGAUACAAAUCAUGCUAACGGACAGAAAUAAUUAUCCUUAUUAUAUCAAGCUCACUUUGAAGAAUGUUUGCGUUUCUGCGAGCGAGUUUUCUGCACGAGUUUAUCGACAGAUCACGCGGACUGAUGAUGUAAGCAGAAUGUACUCGUUUUCUUUCAUUCGUCGCGGUUCUAUCAUGGGAGGAUCGUCAUCGUGUAAUCUGACACAGGGAACACAUGAUCACAGUCUGUUAUAGAAUUCAGCCAAGAUAUUUAUAUUUCACAGCAGCAGGCUCUGUAAAGCGCCAACAGGACGACAGGAUCCUCAACGCCAAGCUUUGCAUUUCCAGACAUCAGUGACGUAAAUUGCGAGAAAACAAAUCCUGUGUCCCUUAAGUCUGAGCAUGUAUUAAACACCUGGUAUACAAAUAAGUGAUGCAAAUCUCCUUCCUGAGCCACUGACCUCGUUUCCCCUCACAGCAAAAACGCUCCGAGAGGGACAGGCUGCAAGUACACAAGCUGUUCAUUUCUACUAAACUGUCCAUCAGAAAACACACAAACACCACGUGGAUUGUGUAAUCAUCCUGUGCGGAAGAAGCGGAAGUGUUCAAGUUUCAGAGAACCGAGUGUAAAUCUUUAGAAAUGUUUCUAUUAUACUAAGUGUUUCGGCAAAUCGGCAAAUGUAUGAGAGACAUCAUAAAACACCAGCAACCUGCUACAUUAAUACAUCAGAAUACACUUAAACAUAAGCAUACUUACAUAUAUAUACAUAUAUAUACAUAUAUAUACAUAUACAUACACAUAUAUAUUACACACACUUAAACUCAAACACACUUAGUUGAUCAUGUUCUUUGGGUUGGCUCCUCAGGAUUAGCUUCUCUUUGCUAGGCUAGGCCUCUCUCGGCUUGCUUUCACACACUAGGCUAGCUGGCAUACACUAGUCUAGCUUUCAUAUACUAGACUAGCUUUCAUACACUAGUCUAGCUUUCACACACUAGUCUAGCUUUCAUACAGUAGGCUAGCUGUCAUACAUUAGGCUAGCUUUCACACACUAGGCUAGCUUUCACACACUAGGCUAGCUGUUAUACACUAUUCUAGCUUUCACACACUAGGCUAGCUGUCAUACACUAUUCUAGCUGGCAUACACUAUUCUAGCUUUCACACACUAGUCUAGAUUUCACACACUAGUCUAGCUUUCAUACACUAGGCUAGCUUUCAUACACUAGACUAGCGGUCAUACACUAGUCUAGCUUUCAUACACUAAGAUAGCUUUCACACUCUGGAUUAUUUUUCACUCACUAGAUUGCGCACUAGAUAGCUGUUAUUCUCUAGAUUAGCUCUUGGCCAUUAGAUUAUCUUACACUAGACUAGCUGAUACUUGCUAGGUUAGCUCUUUUCAGUUUUUCCAUUCAAAGUUAAGUAAAAUGCUACAGCAAGAUGCUAAGAAAAUACCAACACAGAUCAGGCUAGCCAAAUAACUAACACUUGGAACAAAAAAAAUAUUAUUAUUAUGAGUAAUAUUGUGAUUAUAAUGUACCAGACAAAGAACAACCUAACUACCACAAAAGUAAAAUGAACCACAGAACCAAAGACGUGUAAGACUAGAGACUAGGGAAAUAGACAAGCAUGAGGCACAGGCUAGCAGUUCUUGAUGGUGGGCUCAGGGGAGGAGGAGGUGCUGAGGGUUUAUCAGACAAACAAGUCAGGGGUAACCAGCAACAGGUGAGAAUAAUUAACUACUAUAGCGACAGGGAAAUGAGGACAGGAAGCAGUAGCCAUAUAAGGAUAGUGGAGCAGCUACAGGACAGGAUGAACUGAGAACAAAGGAAAUUGUGGCUUUUUGAGUGCUUAAUUUCUCAGUAAUAUCCUGCUCUUUCUUUUGCUUAACAAUGAAUAUUAUACUUAAAAAAAAAGUAUUUAUUAAAAUAAAUAUAAAACCCACAUAGUGCUACAAACAGUAUAUAUACAGGUGCACCUAAAAAAAAAUAGAUUCCCGUAACGUCAAUUUAAUUCAAAAAGUGGCACUUUCAUAUAUUCUAGAUUCGUUACACAUAAAGUGAAAUAUUGCAAAACUUUUUUUUUCUUUUGUUUUAAUCUCGAUGAUUACGGCUUACAGCUCAUGGAAAUCAAAUAUCCAUGAUGUUUACUAUAUGUAAACAUCUGUUAUGUGAAAUAAUUUAUUCAGGG
This is a long non-coding RNA of Ictalurus punctatus (channel catfish), 4383 nucleotides long. Lineage: Eukaryota; Metazoa; Chordata; Actinopteri; Siluriformes; Ictaluridae. The record is from Ensembl.